RNAcentral lists this ribosomal RNA (506 nucleotides) under uncultured bacterium. RNAcentral describes it as "partial 16S ribosomal RNA". It matches the Rfam family "Bacterial small subunit ribosomal RNA", at positions 29 to 523 of the family's 1533-position model. The record is from RNAcentral.
AGUGAACGCUGGCGGUAGGCCUAACACAUGCAAGUCGAACGGCAGCACAGGAGAGCUUGCUCUCUGGGUGGCGAGUGGCGGACGGGUGAGGAAUACAUCGGAAUCUACUUUUUCGUGGGGGAUAACGUAGGGAAACUUACUCUAAUACCGCAUACGACCUACGGGUGAAAGCAGGGGAUCUUCGGACCUUGCGCGAUUGAAUGAGCCGAUGUCGGAUUAGCUAGUUGGCGGGGUAAAGGCCCAACAAGGCGACGAUCCGUAGCUGGUCUGAGAGGAUGAUCAGCCACACUGGAACUGAGACACGGUCCAGACUCCUACGGGAGGCAGCAGUGGGGAAUAUUGGACAAUGGGCGCAAGCCUGAUCCAGCCAUACCGCGUGGGUGAAGAAGGCCUUCGGGUUGUAAAGCCCUUUUGUUGGGAAAGAAAUCCAGCUGGUUAAUACCCGGUUGGGAUGACGGUACCCAAAGAAUAAGCACCGGCUAACUUCGUGCCAGCAGCCGCAGUAA